RNAcentral lists this long non-coding RNA (328 nucleotides) under Gossypium barbadense (sea-island cotton). Its description in RNAcentral is "long non-coding RNA (GBAR_LNC010631)". The record is from RNAcentral. Lineage: Eukaryota; Viridiplantae; Streptophyta; Magnoliopsida; Malvales; Malvaceae.
AAGUUAGGGGUGUUACAUAUACACAACUAUGCAACAACAUAAAUCAUCAACCAGUCAACUAUUCAAACAUACAAUCUUAUCAAUUCAUAAGUUAAGCACCCAACCUUAUAAAUUUCUAAGCUAAGAUCAAACAUGUAUCAUAUUUAUUCCUAGCUAUACUUACCAAAAAUUUAACCACAACUUUAAUAAAUGAACUAUAUUCACCACCAAACCUAGCAACCAUGUAACCAUCAUCACAUUACAAGACAACAUCGAUCAAAAGAUAAAAUAUUUACAUGUUUUAUAUAUAUACAUAUCAAACAAGUUCAUAGGCAUAACAACCUAUUAC